This 335-nucleotide ribosomal RNA is filed under the name uncultured bacterium. RNAcentral's name for it is "bacterial SSU rRNA". It matches the Rfam family "Bacterial small subunit ribosomal RNA", at positions 495 to 829 of the family's 1533-position model. The record is from RNAcentral.
ACGCUACUCCGUGCCAGCAGCCGCGGUAAUACGGAGGGUGCAAGCGUUGAUCGGAAUUAUUGGGCGUAAAGCGCGUGCAGGCGGCUCGUUAAGUCUGAUGUGAAAGCCCCGGGCUCAACCCGGGAAGUGCAUUGGAAACUGGCGAACUUGAGUAUGGGAGAGGGAAGUGGAAUUCCGAGUGUAGGGGUGAAAUCCGUAGAUAUUCGGAGGAACACCAGUGGCGAAGGCGGCUUCCUGGACCAAUACUGACGCUGAGACGCGAAAGCGUGGGGAGCAAACAGGAUUAGAUACCCUGGUAGUCCACGCCGUAAACGAUGGGCACUAGGUGUCGCGGG